GCAAGUCGAACGGUAACAGGAUGUGCUUGCACAUCGCUGACGAGUGGCGGACGGGUGAGUAAUGCUUGGGAACUUGCCUUUGCGAGGGGGAUAACAGUUGGAAACGACUGCUAAUACCGCAUGAUGUCUACGGACCAAAGAGGGCUUUUAGCUCUCGCGCAAAGAGAGGCCCAAGUGAGAUUAGCUAGUUGGUGAGGUAAAGGCUCACCAAGGCGACGAUCUCUAGCUGUUCUGAGAGGAAGAUC
RNAcentral lists this ribosomal RNA (245 nucleotides) under uncultured bacterium. RNAcentral describes it as "partial 16S ribosomal RNA". It matches the Rfam family "Bacterial small subunit ribosomal RNA", at positions 57 to 305 of the family's 1533-position model. The record is from RNAcentral.